Molecule: ribosomal RNA, 502 nt
Filed under: uncultured Glomus
Lineage: Eukaryota; Fungi; Glomeromycota; Glomeromycetes; Glomerales; Glomeraceae
Description: SSU rRNA
Rfam family: Eukaryotic small subunit ribosomal RNA
Source: RNAcentral
AGCAGCCGCGGUAAUUCCAGCUCCAAUAGCGUAUAUUAAAGUUGUUGCAGUUAAAAAGCUCGUAGUUGAAUUUCGGGGUUAGUAGGUUGGUCAUGCCUCUGGUAUGUACUGGUCUCACUGAUUCCUCCUUCCUGAUGAGCCGUAAUGCCAUUAAUUUGGUGUUGCGGGGAGACUGGACUGUUACUUUGAAAAAAUUAGAGUGUUUAAAGCAGGCUAACGCUUGAAUACAUUAGCAUGGAAUAAUGAAAUAGGACGUUCGAUCUUAUUUUGUUGGUUUCUAAGAUUGACGUGAUGAUUAAUAGGGAUAGUUGGGGGCAUUAGUAUUCAAUUGUCAGAGGUGAAAUUCUUGGAUUUAUUGAAGACUAACUACUGCGAAAGCAUUUGCCAAGGAUGUUUUCAUUAAUCAAGAACGAAAGUUAGGGGAUCGAAGACGAUCAGAUACCGUCGUAGUCUUAACCAUAAACUAUGCCGACUAGGGAUCGGAUGAUGUAAUUUUUAAUGA